UUUAAAAAAUGUUUAUUUUUGUUGAAUAAAAUCAUGUUCAACAUCCAAAUACUGACAGGAAGAUGCAACUUUUCAAUUAUUGAACAUAUUAAGGAGUGCUCCAGCUGAAUUCUCCAGUCUUUUCCCCCCUCACACAAUUCUGAUUCUCUAAGUCACUAAAUUGUCUUCAGUAAAACUGUAGCCUUUCCUUUGGAGUUUACUGUCAAAAUACUAUUAUCUUCUAAUCCUUUAACAAUUUCUAAGCAAACAAUAACCUCCCAUAGCCUGACAGACAAUACCAGGAUGUGUCUGCUGAAUACUUUUAUUUUACUUUCAGAACUGAAAGAGCACCUCUUUCCUAGCAUUAACCUCAGUGCCGAUACAUGGGCAUGCAAACUAAAAACUUCCUUAUUUUAAAAUAGACUAGAAUCUAAGAAAUUAGUAUUUGUUUAAUACAUAGUUCAGUUUUAGAUCCCAAAGGAGUCAGGGCAUGAUGAAUAAAAGUUAAACUUUUAAUUAUAAUACAUGAGAGGCAGCACGGUGUAGUGGAUAGAAAGCUGGCCUUAAAGCCGGGAAGACCUGGAUUCAAGUCCUACCUCCAAUUCAUAUUGGCUCUAAGCAAGUCACUUUACUUCUUAAGUGUUUCAAGCACCUUGCUAAGACCACAAGGUGUAGAAAAGGUGCUAACUUGUAUUGGUGGAGGGAGUUUCCUUGGCUGAAAGCUCCUUAUACCAAUGCCAUCCCAGGUCCAAUCCCUAUCCCGUCACAUACAUACAUACAAAUAUACAAGUGUAUAGAUAUAUGCGUAUAGUUAUACAUUACACACACGCACGCAUGUGUUGAUUUUCGAAUGCCUUAUUUUAACUUGUAUAGUUUGUAUUUCGAAGCAGAGACUGGAGUAAUAUUCCAAAAACUCCUAGAAAUUAAGACCAAACAGCUUUCAUUAAAACUUGAAGCUAUCAUAAUACAAAAAUGGAGAUCCAACAACUCAAAUCUAUUACACCCACAUCUUUGUACACUUUAACCCUCUGAAUGAACACCCGAUUUUGCCAAUGCAGCUAAAUCUGGCAUUCUGGCUGACUGCAGCAAAUUUCUAUUGGGGAUUGCUUUCUCUGAAGAAAUUCCUUGACAUUUUAAGGUUUUCAUUCAUCAAAAACUGAGAUAUUUUGUCUAAUUUAAGAUAUCAAACUGCAAAGUCAUCCUAUGCUGUACAAACCAGACUAAAACGUAAAUGAGGAAAUGAUUAACAAAACAGAAAACCAUAAAUUACUAUUACUUGUGUUGUAUAAGUCACUGUGCAUUUGGCAGAGAUCAGUUUCUAUUGGAGUUUGCCACCACUGGUCUACCAUUUAGAAUCAUCUAGCUGGUUUUCAUUUUUCACAUUUCUCAUCAUAUGGACAAAAUUUACAUUUUACAACUAAAAUGCAUAUAUACUAUCAAACUAUCAAAUAGCUUACAUAACACAGAGGAGAGCUACCUUUUUAGCCACAUGGCAAGAAUGUGUCAAGUCAUAAAAUCUAUUUUCUAGAAACAAUUACAUUUCCAGAAGAUACAUUCACCAAAGUUGAGAUUAAAAAUCACCAUUUACUUAAGUAAAUUCUGCCUACCUUGAUAUUCUCUGAUUCUAAUUUGAUAAGGUAGCCUUCUCUUCCCAUUCUAGUCAGCCAUUUAAGAGACCAUGAGGUGCACUUAGAAAGUUAUUGCAAUGGGGUAGUGAACAGACUCCAGCAGAUACUAUAUUCAUCCAUUACUCUGAAAUUUAUCAUUUUUCCUUCAGCCACUAAAAUCCCAUCAAAACUGAAUGGGUGUGGUUUCACUGUGAUUUCCUAGAUAUGAAUUAGUAACGAUAAUUUUAGAAAGUCAAUAUUAAAGCAACAGAAAUGGCAACUUUCUAGGGAGAAUUCAGAUAUAUAUAUAUAAUUUGAAAUUUCAGCUGUAUUACCUUUCUGCAUUUGCUGUUUUAGUGUAUCAAACAAGAAAUGAUAACCUCUAAUUUAAAUUAAAUAACUUUCCAUCAAAUGUCCACAAAAGAAUUAUUUCUUACAAUUUUAAAGGUAAAGUCAGGGUAACAACUACAUCUUCCAGAGGCCACCUGUCUCAGCCCACUACUGUGGAAUGCUCUUUCCUAUAGACCUUUUGAAUGCAGUAAUACUAUCUCAUUAUUAUUAGUACAUGAGACUGUCCCAAGUAAGAUCACAAAUCUAGAGCUUCAAAUGGAAUCAAUAUUAAAUGUGCUAAUUUCACUGCUAACUAAAAUUUUACAAUUUGGUACUUUAAAUCAUUUCAAGGCUCUGCUUCUUCAUCUAUGCGAUUAUUCCCUCCACUAAAAUACAUCACAACUAGUUACAAACAUUCAUCAGGAGGCCAGACUAGCCUCCUGCUCCAGCCUCCUAUACUCAGGUGCUGGUCUGCAAGUGACAGACCACUGUGCCUGGAACCUGCGCUUUGUAUCUGGACUUCACUUAAUAGCACUUUCAAAAACCUGGGGCCACCUACAUACCACAAGGAGGCACUGAAGUAGGACUUUAAAUAUUUAGUACAAAAACCAAAACUUCCUAAACUUUAAGAAAGCAUAUACAUUCCAGGUGACUCAUUUUAAAAAUUAUAAUCCAGAACAUUUUAAAACAGCAUGACAAUGAAUUUUAUAAAAAAGCCAUAUGGAAGAGGAUCACAAUUUUCAAUGAAAAGGGGAGAAAUGCUCAUUCAAAGCUAAAAAUAUGAAUGGAUGGAAUUAUUUGAAUUUAAAUUUAAAGAUCACAAUUGAAACAA
Molecule: long non-coding RNA, 2748 nt
Organism: Sarcophilus harrisii (Tasmanian devil)
Lineage: Eukaryota; Metazoa; Chordata; Mammalia; Dasyuromorphia; Dasyuridae
Source: Ensembl